GAUGAACGCUGGCGGCGUGCCUAAUACAUGCAAGUCGAGUGAACAGACGAGGAGCUUGCUCCUCUGACGUUAGCGGCGGACGGGUGAGUAACACGUGGAUAACCUACCUAUAAGACUGGGAUAACUUCGGGAAACCGGAGCUAAUACCGGAUAAUAUAUUGAACCGCAUGGUUCAAUAGUGAAAGACGGUUUUGCUGUCACUUAUAGAUGGAUCCGCGCCGCAUUAGCUAGUUGGUAAGGUAACGGCUUACCAAGGCAACGAUGCGUAGCCGACCUGAGAGGGUGAUCGGCCACACUUGAACUGAGACACGGUCCAGACUCCUACGGGAGGCAGCAGUAGGGAAUCUUCCGCAAUGGGCGAAAGCCUGACGGAGCAACGCCGCGUGAGUGAUGAAGGUCUUCGGAUCGUAAAACUCUGUUAUUAGGGAAGAACAAAUGUGUAAGUAACUAUGCACGUCUUGACGGUACCUAAUCAGAAAGCCACGGCUAACUACGUG
Molecule: ribosomal RNA, 497 nt
Filed under: uncultured bacterium
Lineage: Bacteria
Description: partial 16S ribosomal RNA
Rfam family: Bacterial small subunit ribosomal RNA
Source: RNAcentral